This is a small nucleolar RNA of Diospyros lotus (date-plum), 159 nucleotides long. RefSeq annotates it as small nucleolar RNA snoR143. The transcript has a single exon. The record is from RefSeq and is a predicted model, not a curated record. Lineage: Eukaryota; Viridiplantae; Streptophyta; Magnoliopsida; Ericales; Ebenaceae.
UUGCACUUGUAUCAAAGGCCCCUCUAGUGAUAAUGGAGUGGUAUGAGCCAGGUGCAUAAAUGAAAACUGUUAAAUCAGCAGCAGCCAGACAACUGCUCAGAUGGAAUCCACUGGUGAAUGGUCAAUGUGCUACUUGCCUACUAACUCCAUCUUACAUUU